Molecule: ribosomal RNA, 253 nt
Filed under: uncultured bacterium
Lineage: Bacteria
Description: partial 16S ribosomal RNA
Rfam family: Bacterial small subunit ribosomal RNA
Source: RNAcentral
UACGGGGGGUGCGAGCGUUGUCCGGAAUCACUGGGCGUAAAGGGCGCGUAGGGGGCUCUGUAAGUUUGCGGUGAGAGCCCGGGGCUCAACCCCGGGUCUGCCGUGGAUACUGCAAGGCUUGAGUACUGUAGAGGCAGGUGGAAUGUCGGGUGUAGCGGUGGAAUGCGUAGAGAUCCGAUAGAAGACCGGUGGCGAAGGCGGCCUGCUGGGCAGUAACUGACACUGAGGCGCGAAAGCGUGGGGAGCAAACAGG